This 253-nucleotide ribosomal RNA is filed under the name uncultured bacterium. Its description in RNAcentral is "partial 16S ribosomal RNA". It matches the Rfam family "Bacterial small subunit ribosomal RNA", at positions 524 to 776 of the family's 1533-position model. The record is from RNAcentral.
UACGGGGGGAGCAAGCGUUGUUCGGAUUUACUGGGCGUAAAGAGCUCGUAGGUGGUUUGUCGCGUUGUUCGUGAAAACUCACAGCUUAACUGUGGGCGUGCGGGCGAUACGGGCAGACUGGAGUACUGCAGGGGAGACUGGAAUUCCUGGUGUAGCGGUGGAAUGCGCAGAUAUCAGGAGGAACACCGGUGGCGAAGGCGGGUCUCUGGGCAGUAACUGACGCUGAGGAGCGAAAGCGUGGGGAGCGAACAGG